RNAcentral lists this ribosomal RNA (253 nucleotides) under uncultured bacterium. RNAcentral's name for it is "partial 16S ribosomal RNA". It matches the Rfam family "Bacterial small subunit ribosomal RNA", at positions 524 to 776 of the family's 1533-position model. The record is from RNAcentral.
AACGUAGGACGCGAGCGUUAUCCGGAGUUACUGGGCGUAAAGCGCGGGCAGGCGGUCUGACAAGUCUGAUGUGAAAUCUCCGGGCUUAACCGGGAGAGGCCAUUGGAAACUGACAGGCUUGAGUGCGGCAGAGGAGACUGGAAUUCCUGGUGUAGCAGUGAAAUGCGUAGAUAUCAGGAGGAAUACCGAUGGCGAAGGCAGGUCUCUGGGCUGACACUGACGCUCAUGCACGAAAGCGUGGGGAGCAAACAGG